RNAcentral lists this ribosomal RNA (497 nucleotides) under uncultured bacterium. RNAcentral describes it as "partial 16S ribosomal RNA". It matches the Rfam family "Bacterial small subunit ribosomal RNA", at positions 28 to 507 of the family's 1533-position model. The record is from RNAcentral.
GAUGAACGCUGGCGGCGUGCCUAAUACAUGCAAGUCGAGCGAACAGACGAGGAGCUUGCUCCUCUGACGUUAGCGGCGGACGGGUGAGUAACACGUGGAUAACCUACCUAUAAGACUGGGAUAACUUCGGGAAACCGGAGCUAAUACCGGAUAAUAUAUUGAACCGCAUGGUUCAAUAGUGAAAGACGGUUUUGCUGUCACUUAUAGAUGGAUCCGCGCCGCAUUAGCUAGUUGGUAAGGUAACGGCUUACCAAGGCAACGAUGCGUAGCCGACCUGAGAGGGUGAUCGGCCACACUGGAACUGAGACACGGUCCAGACUCCUACGGGAGGCAGCAGUAGGGAAUCUUCCGCAAUGGGCGAAAGCUUGACGGAGCAACGCCGAGUGAGUGAUGAAGGUCUUCGGAUCGUAAAACUCUGUUAUUAGGGAAGAACAAAUAUGUAAGUAACUAUGCACGUCUUGACGGUACCUAAUCAGAAAGCCACGGCUAACUACGUG